RNAcentral lists this ribosomal RNA (253 nucleotides) under uncultured bacterium. RNAcentral's name for it is "partial 16S ribosomal RNA". It matches the Rfam family "Bacterial small subunit ribosomal RNA", at positions 524 to 776 of the family's 1533-position model. The record is from RNAcentral.
UACAGAGGUCCCAAGCGUUGUUCGGAUUCAUUGGGCGUAAAGGGUGCGUAGGCGGCUUGGUAAGUUGGGUGUGAAAGCCCCGGGCUCAGCCCGGGAAGGGCACUCGAAACUGCCGAGCUGGAGUGCCGGAGGGGAGAGUGGAAUUCCUGGUGUAGCGGUGAAAUGCGUAGAUAUCAGGAGGAAUACCGGUGGCGAAAGCGACUCUCUGGACGGCAACUGACGCUGAGGCACGAAAGCGUGGGGAGCAAACAGG